UGACUGAGAAGGGCCAGAGUGCCAGCUGCAGCCAGUCCUGAGCUGGAGAAGUGGGCAGAGGCCAGGUAACAGCAGGCUGUCCCUGCCACAUAAGCGCUGAAUGGAAAGUCAUUAAAUUCUUUUCAGGAAGUUCUUAUGGGCUCAUAUUCGUGUUUUAUGAAGACUUCUCAGACAGCAGGGCUGAAGAUGGAUUGGAUGGAAAUGACACCAGAGACAGAGAGAAUAAUUAAAAGCCGGAGACAAUUAUCCAGGAAUAGAAGUGAUCGAUCAACAGACUUUCUGGCUCUUUUUAUGGAAGUUCCUUCCUCACAAGAUGCCUCUCCAUCUGAGAGGCACUGGAACCAGUCUGGCUGAAGGGCCUGCUGAAUUGUCAUGAACUUGGAAGCAGUCAUUUCGACUCGUCCCCCAACACCCCACACCGACACAGACUGUCAGGGAACAAAAUAAUGAGGAAUGAGCAAGAGCAAAAUGCAAAUAAAAAGAAUAAUAAUAAAAUGGUAAAGCAAUAGUAAA
Molecule: long non-coding RNA, 513 nt
Organism: Lynx canadensis (Canada lynx)
Lineage: Eukaryota; Metazoa; Chordata; Mammalia; Carnivora; Felidae
Exons: 2
Source: RefSeq, a predicted model, not a curated record